AUUUUUAACCAUAUGCAUUUUUAUCAUCAAAUAAAGUCACCAUAAUUAUGCAUAUAUGCAUAUAUUGUAAAAAAAAUCAACAUAAAAGUCAAUAUUUUACAUGUUAAAGAAAUUUAUUAAAAUUGCAUUUUUUUUCAUUAUGCAUUUUAAAAAAUAAAUUCAUGAUCAUUUGAUUUAUCAUCAAAAUAUCCAAUUGAAUUUUAUUAAUCAUCUUCAUGCAUCAUAAAA
Molecule: long non-coding RNA, 228 nt
Filed under: Lathyrus oleraceus (garden pea)
Lineage: Eukaryota; Viridiplantae; Streptophyta; Magnoliopsida; Fabales; Fabaceae
Description: Pisum sativum (pea) long non-coding RNA (PSAT_LNC021082)
Source: RNAcentral